Molecule: ribosomal RNA, 319 nt
Filed under: uncultured delta proteobacterium B2M29
Lineage: Bacteria; Deltaproteobacteria
Description: bacterial SSU rRNA
Rfam family: Bacterial small subunit ribosomal RNA
Source: RNAcentral
GUCCGCAACGAGCGCAACCUCUGUCGUUAGUCGCCAGCAUUGAGUUGGGAACUCUAACGAGACUGCCGACGUUAAGUCGGAGGAAGGUGGAGAUGACGUCAAGUCCUCAUGGCCCUUAUGCCCAGGGCUACACACGUGCUACAAUGGCCGGUACAAAGAGCUGCGAAAUCGCGAGGUUAAGCUAAUCUCAAAAAGCCGGUCUCAGUUCGGAUUGGAGUCUGCAACUCGACUCCAUGAAGUUGGAAUCGCUAGUAAUCGUAGAUCAGCACGCUACGGUGAAUACGUUCCCGGGCCUUGUACACACCGCCCGUCACACCAU